Molecule: ribosomal RNA, 496 nt
Filed under: uncultured bacterium
Lineage: Bacteria
Description: partial 16S ribosomal RNA
Rfam family: Bacterial small subunit ribosomal RNA
Source: RNAcentral
AUGAACGCUGGCGGCGUGCCUAAUACAUGCAAGUCGAGCGAACAGAUGAGGAGCUUGCUCCUCUGACGUUAGCGGCGGACGGGUGAGUAACACGUGGAUAACCUACCAAUAAGACUGGGAUAACUUCGGGAAACCGGAGCUAAUACCGGAUAAUAUAUUGAACCGCAUGGUUCAAUAGUGAAAGACGGUUUUGCUGUCACUUAUAGAUGGAUCCGCGCCGCAUUAGCUAGUUGGUAAGGUAACGGCUUACCAAGGCAACGAUGCGUAGCCGACCUGAGAGGGUGAUCGGCCACACUGGAACUGAGACACGGUCCAGACUCCUACGGGAGGCAGCAGUAGGGAAUCUUCCGCAAUGGGCGAAAGCCUGACGGAGCAACGCCGCGUGAGUGAUGAAGGUCUUCGGAUCGUAAAACUCUGUUAUUAGGGAAGAACAAAUGUGUAAGUAACUAUGCACGUCUUGACGGUACCUAAUCAGAAAGCCACGGCUAACUACGUG